RNAcentral lists this ribosomal RNA (253 nucleotides) under uncultured bacterium. Its description in RNAcentral is "partial 16S ribosomal RNA". It matches the Rfam family "Bacterial small subunit ribosomal RNA", at positions 524 to 776 of the family's 1533-position model. The record is from RNAcentral.
UACGGAGGGUGCAAACGUUGCUUGGAAUCAUUGAGCGUAAAGCGCACGUAGGCGGUUUGUUAAGUCGGGUGUGAAAGCCCUGGGCUCAACCCAGGAAGUGCACUCGAAACUGGCAGGCUUGAAUAUGGAAGAGGGUCGCGGAAUUCCCGGUGUAGAGGUGAAAUUCGUAGAUAUCUGAAGGAACAUCAGUGGCGAAAGCGACUUCCUGGACCAAUACUGACGCUCAUGUGCGAAAGCGUGGGGAGCAAACAGG